UGAAAAAGACAGACAAAGUGGUUUUUUGUUUUAUGAGGUGAGCACUGCUCAUCCUCUGGGUUCUCAGGGGUUGUUUUCAGUCCACCUGAAGGUACCACCAGAACUUCUCACACACAGCCCAGGACAGCAGCUCCCUCACACUCCCCACAUUGAUGCUGUGCUUGGUUUGGGGUAGGAAAAGGUGCUUCCCUGCAGUGUCCCAUCACCAGAAAAGCACCUGCACGCUGCAGAUUCAAAAGGGAAAAUGUAAUUGAACAUUGACAUGCAAACAAGUCUGCUCUCUUCAUGUAAAAAUGUAUUGCAUGCAUCAAAUGAAAACUUAUUUUUACUGUAAGAGCCACACCAUCCUCUACUGGAUAUGUGCGCAGACCUGGGAGGGAGUGUUUCCCCAGCCAGGAGGAAGCUCUUUGUCAGGUACUGCUUGUGUGGUUCACUGUGGGUUUAGUUGUCAUCCAUCUUACGUGCCCAUUCACCAAUUAUCUGUAAUCCUCUUUUUCCUUUCCUUGCCCCGCUGUGACUGAAAGCAUCCUCAGGUGCAAACCCCGUGACUGCAGGUGACCAUGGAAGUGCAGCUGGCCAAGCCCCGCUGGAGCCAGCAGAGCGGGCGAGCCUGGCCUCGGAGGGGAGCAGCCCGGGCCAGCAGCUGCCGGCAGAGGAGGCUUCAGCCGCGCUCCGGGACGUGGAAGGACAGACGGGGUCGGUCAGUAAAAGGGAGGAGCCAGAGGGCACCGAGCCGCUGCCUGCAGGAGAGGAGGAGAGCUCCGAGCUGCCCUCCGUGUGGCGAGAGGAGAGCAGGGGCCCCUCACCGCCAGCGCCAGGAGAAGAUGCUGGGGCACCAUCGCCAGAACCAGCAGAGGACAGUGGGCUGGCAGAGGGCAGUGACACCUCUCUAGUGGAAGUCGUCGAGAAAGUACAUAUUGCUGAAGAGGAGCACCUCGCUGAGGGUGAGACGGGAGAACAGGUGGAAACUGAGCUGCUCAGUGAGACAGUAAGUGAAGGGCCUGAAACAAAAGAAGAAGAAACAGGAGAAGCUGUGGAUAGUGCAGCAGCGACAGAGAUAGGCAUACAGCUGCUUUCUGCAUUUUUACACAAGAGAAUCAAAAAUACUUUACAGUAAAAGACAUUUUUGGAAGCAACCAAUUGGAAGUCAUGCUUUUUACAUGGGUCAUCUUUAUAUAAUACACAAGCCUUAUCAGUGAUAACUUUACCCACUUUGGGAAGAAUGAUAGACUGUAACAUGCAGUCUUGGAAAAUAAAAAACCUUUGUUCAA
Non-coding RNA from Zonotrichia albicollis (white-throated sparrow), 1271 nucleotides. The record is from RefSeq and is a predicted model, not a curated record. NCBI's taxonomy places the organism in Eukaryota, Metazoa, Chordata, Aves, Passeriformes, Passerellidae.